RNAcentral lists this ribosomal RNA (448 nucleotides) under uncultured bacterium. RNAcentral describes it as "bacterial SSU rRNA". It matches the Rfam family "Bacterial small subunit ribosomal RNA", at positions 29 to 524 of the family's 1533-position model. The record is from RNAcentral.
AGCGAACGCUGGCGGCAGGCCUAACACAUGCAAGUCGAGCGCCCAGCAAUGGGAGCGGCAGACGGGAUAGUAACACGUGGGAACGUACCUUUCAGUUCGGAACAACCCAGGGAAACUUGGGCUAAUACCGAAUACGUCCGUAAGGAGAAAGAUUUAUCGCUGAAAGAUCGGCCCGCGUCUGAUUAGCUAGUUGGUGAGGUAAUGGCUCACCAAGGCGACGAUCAGUAGCNGGUCUGAGAGGAUGAUCAGCAUCACUGGGACUGAGACACGGCCCAGACUCCUACGGGAGGCAGCAGUGGGGAAUAUUGGACAAUGGGCGCAAGCCUGAUCCAGCCAUGCCGCGUGGAUGAUGAAGGCCUUAGGGUUGUAAAGUCCUUUCGGCGGGGAAGAUAAUGACGGUACCCGCAGAAGAAGCCCCGGCUAACUUCGUGCCAGCCGCCGCGGUAAG